CGGAGCUGGCGCAGCCGAGCCGCGGUCAGAGCCCGAGCUCGGGUGUGCGUGCGUUUGUUUAUGUUUCGCUCGGGCCCGCUCUAGUGCCUCCCGCGGCGCCGCCGCUCAAGUCUGUGCUGUCUUCGGCUCUUCUCCCCUUUCCUAGCCUGGCCGCCUCCGCGACCCCCCGUCACCCCCCACCCGGUCGAAUGGCCCGAGCCCGGGGACUGCGCGGGCAGCUCCCUCUCCCCUCUUCGCCCGCGGGCCAGAGGGCGAACGGGGGUCUGGGCGCAGAUGGGCCCUUGUCACUUCCAAAAAAUAAAGGAAAGACAGAAAGAAGGGGGAGCAGCAGCCCAGCGGGUGUUCGCAGAGGUCGGGAAGCGCCAAGUCUCCCGGGCUGCUAGAAAACCCGGACCAGCACGUUCAUCACCUCCUUGCUCCCGCUGCUGCCAUCUUGACAGUUUCCCCCUUCCCGAGUCCUUUAAAAACACUAGCGGGCGAGAAGGGGGGCGCGCACACCGCGGCUCAGGGAGGGGAAAGGGAAGCGCCCGGCCCAGCUCGGAAGCAGAUCCGGAGUCACCGGGAAGGCGGCCGCCCGCUGCACGGCUCCGGCGCCUACCUCGCUUCCUUCCCUUCAG
RNAcentral lists this long non-coding RNA (617 nucleotides) under Homo sapiens (human). RNAcentral describes it as "HSALNT0111195". Lineage: Eukaryota; Metazoa; Chordata; Mammalia; Primates; Hominidae. The record is from RNAcentral.